Corythoichthys intestinalis (scribbled pipefish) is the source of this 10189-nucleotide RNA transcript. It is a transcript of the gene named protein outspread, with no coding region annotated. The transcript has 26 exons. Lineage: Eukaryota; Metazoa; Chordata; Actinopteri; Syngnathiformes; Syngnathidae. The record is from RefSeq and is a predicted model, not a curated record.
UACUCUGCACCGACUGGAUGUCCGGCCAAAGGGGGCAUUUGACGAAAACAUCCAACUCAGCGGCGCAAAUGGAGCCAACAGCCGCGUCGAUGGCGUGUUUUUAAACGUGUACCAUGUACUGACAGGAAGCCAAACACGUAUGAACGCACUAUCACUCGUGAGAUAGGAGCCCGGAGGAGUAGGCGGAUCGGACUCCCUCUCGGUAGAUUGGCGUCGUUCCCCCCGCGAUGGAGGCUGCUGCUGACGGGACCCGCCAGGACCACCGCAGUGUCGGCCACCAGACGUCGACGCCUCGUUGACCGACGCAAUUAAGAGCUAGAAAUUGGAAAAACUAUCUCUGCUAAGCGACGACAUCCACAACUUGUUGAUUGGCGUCGAAACGAAAGCGAGAAGUUAACGGGUGAACGUUAGCCCACUUUGGGGCAUGAUGACCAGUGUAGACGUGACCUAAAAGUGCAAGUUCGUGUAACCCCUAACCUGGAGUUGUUCUCGAAAGUUCCUUAUCAUUUGAAAAGUUUUUUUUUUUUUUUUUUUAAGUAAAAAUCGUAUUACGUCCUCCUUUGAUCACCAUGUCAUUCAAAGAGAAUCCCUGUCGGAAAUUCCAAGCCAACAUUUUCAACAAGAACAAAUGUCAGAAUUGUUUUAAACCUCGAGAAUCCCACCUGCUCAACGACGAAGACCUCGGUCAGGCAAAAGCUAUAUAUGGAGGGUGGUUGCUCCUUGCGCCGGAGGGGACCAAUUUUGACAAUCCUUUACACAGAUCUCGGAAAUGGCAAAGGAGGUUUUUCAUCCUUUACGAACAUGGCUUACUUCGCUAUGCUUUGGAUGAAAUGCCCAGUACUCUUCCCCAGGGUACAAUCAAUAUGAACCUGUGUGCCGAUGUCAUUGAUGGAGAGUCCAGGACGGGUCAGAAGAACUCCUUGUGCAUCCUCACUUCUGAAAAUGAGCACUUCAUUCGGGCUGAGUGCAAAGAAAUUAUUAACGGAUGGCAUGAAGCUCUGAGCGUGUACCCCAGAACAAACAAGCAGAAUCAGAAGAAGAAGCGCAAAGUCGAUCCAACAACUCAGCAGUCUUGUUGUGACCUUGCCUCCCAUUAUGUCCUCUCAUCCUCCCUCCCACUCCUUCCGUCCCAAACCCCUAUCCAGGAACCAGGCCCUGCCAAGGUGACAGUGACGAGCAACAGCAGCAGCAGUGGAGGCAGCAACCCGUGUCUGCCCAGCAGCAUCGCAAAUGCAGAGUGUGUCCCGAUGAGCCGUACCACUCUGUGGCAGGAGGAAAACCGCUGGAGUCGGGCUGCCAUCCCUUGUAGUCGUAGUGCUUCUUGUCUCAGCCAACUGGGCCAGAGCCAACCGGACUCCACUGUCACGACUCAAGAUGACGGUGGCACUAUGGGCACAGGACGCAAAGUACGAGUGGAGAGUGGUUACUUUUCCCUGGAGAAGACAAAGUCUGAUCCCUCUCCAAAACCCACUCAGCAUUCCCAACCAGUGCAGCAGCCCCAGCAUCUACCCCUGUCCUCGUCGACAUCUUCCUGUUCUUUAGGAGCAUCCAGUCCCAGGUACAGUUCUGAGCCCGAACCACCGAUUUCCCCCUACCCCCCCUCUCCGGGACCCCUUGCAUCUCCUAGCUACUCCACCAUCAGCUCCUCCCAGAGUUCACUGGACUCUGAACCCAGCAGUAGCGCUACUCCCAACUGGGAGGGCAACAGCGUUAGUGGAGGGAGCACUAGUGUGAAUAGUGCAAGUCGUUCAGGCAGGCAGUAUGCGGCACUUUCGGACGUGCCGCGAGCACGCAGGAUGACCUACCGCGAAGCCUUUCAUUCUAAGAAAAAGCGACAAGAACUCAGAGAACGCACUCGGAGCCCUGGACGGGAAGAGGUGGCACGGCUGUUUGGAGAGGAGCGCAGGCGUUCGCAAGUCAUAGGCCGGUUUGAAGAGAGUCCAAAUGUGGAGCGCAUGGACACGAGUACCUCCGGCGAGCCGUCAUCAAAGGUCAACAAUGUGCAGCGACAAGGUCGCAGUGAGAAACGCUAUCUGGCUGACAAACAUGACAUGUCGUCAUUGGAUGCUGGAAAGGAACACUCGGAUCCAAAUGGGUGCAGCUCAACUUUUGCAAACUUAAGACGAGCCAAAUCACUUGACCGUAGAGUCACCGAGUCUGCGAUGGCUCCGGAUCUGCUGAACUUCAAGAAAGGAUGGAUGACCAAGUUGUAUGAUGACGGAAUGUGGAAGAAACACUGGUUUGUUCUCACAGAUCAGAGUCUACGCUACUACAAGGACUCAAUAGCUGAAGAGGCGGCUGAACUGGAUGGUGAGAUUGAUCUUUCCACAUGUUAUGACGUCAAAGAGUUCCCAGUCCAGAGGAAUUAUGGCUUCCAAAUCCUGUGUAAAGAGGGCGUGUGCACCCUGUCAGCCAUGACCUCUGGUAUCCGCCGCAACUGGAUCCAGGCCAUCAUGAAGAAUGCACGGCCCACCAUCGCCCCUGAUGUCACCCGGAAAAACAUCUCACUGAAACUAUCCGUUCUGAAGCCCAGAUCUGUCGCAGAGGAGAAGAUAACAACGCAGGUCCUGCAGGUCAAGCCUGAGCCAAGCACCUCUUCUGAGCCCCCUAAUUCGGAUGGCCACAAGCAUCCGAACAGUAACGGGGCGUCCUUCCCUUUAUCAGAACCCCGUAAAAGCAGAGUUCGCGAGCGCAGACGGGAGGGCCGCUCAAAGACAUUUGACUGGUCAGAGUUCAAAAUUGAAAAAACGAACAAGCCGGUGAAGGAGCAAACAGACUCUGUCAACCUCAGCUCCUCGUCACUUUCCACCACCGCAUCCUGCUGCUCUGUUACCUCCUCUCCUUCCUCGUCGUCCUCUCCGGUCUCUACCUCGGCCCUGCAAACUCCCAUCGUGUCAGAACCCCACCCUGCCUCGACAGUAGAUGAUAACAUUAGGGGGAGCACCCUGAGCCAUUUGCCAAAUACCACUCUUGUCACUUCCACUUUGAACACGAUAUCUCCCGUGCAGCCAUCCUUACGAGAACGUCAAGAGCAAGGAAGGAUGGAAGUAGAUCACCCGUCAGCCUCGAACAAUGUCGAGGAAGAAAAGUUCACCUUAACGUCAGGCGUGAAGGAGGAGAUUGAACAAAGGUGGCAUCAGGUGGAAACGAUACCACUUAGGGAAGAGAAGCAAGUGCCCAUCAACUCUGCUGCAGAGAGCUCCAACACUGAAAAAUUGCCUGCAAAUGAGCUCGCGGCAAUGCUAGACAAAGAGAAGCUAAAAGAGCUGGAUCAACUUCAGAGACAGAACAGCAUGUUAAAGGAGCAGCUGGAAGAAGCACUAGGAAGAGAACAAAGUGCCAGGGAUGGCUAUAUACUGCAGAGUGCAACAAACCCUGCCUCCUCAACGCACGGAGUACCAUGGCAACACCUGCACAAGCUGAACAAAGACUUGCAUUGUGAAUUAGAAUCCCAAAAGCGCAAGCAAGACCUCGCCCAACAGAAGAUUCUAACACUAAAAAGAAGCUACGCUGAAGCCCAGAAUGCUGUGGAUCGCCAUGAUGCUGAUAUUCAAGCCCUCCAGUCAAAGCUGGCCUCUGCAUUGGCCGAAAUCUUAGCAAGUGAACAAGCUGUAGCCCGCAUGCGCAAUGAACUGAAACUGGAGCAAGCACGUUCAAAGGAGCAAGAAGAGGAAUACGGACGUAGUGAGGCCACUUUACGAGCCCAGCUUAAGGACAGUGAAACUAGACUCCGUGAGGUUGAGGCUAGCCUUUUAGAAAGAAACCAGGCCCUUAGGCACCUGGAGCACCAACAGGCCCUUCAGCGAGACCAUCUCAGAGAGAUCCAGAGGUUACAGGAAAGACUGAAAGAAGUGACUGCACGACUGGUCGCUACAGAAGAAGGUCAGGCACUGAAGGAGGAGCGCUUGAGAAAAGAGCAGCAUAGCAUUCAAGAGAGUCACGAAAGGGAAAGACAAAAUCUGUGCAGAAGAAUAGCCGAAGCCGAGACUGCAAACAAGGAAAUGGAGGACAGACUCCUAAAGACCCAACAGCAGGUGGAGGCCCUGUUAAGAGGGAAGCAGAACUCAACAGGAAUAGAACAUGGUGAGGAAUUGCUGAACUUGAAAGAGGAUCUUGCACAGAAGACAAACAUGUUGGAGUCACUUCGGGAGAGUGUCCGACUGCUUGAAGAAGAGAGAGGUCUGCUCACAUGCCGUUGUCAGGAACUCCUAAACCAGAUUUCAGAGGCAGACCGAGAGGUCAACAAGCUUCGCAAUCGCCUUGAAACGGAAGAGGCAGAUUAUUCCGCUUUGGAAAACUCUUAUGCAAGGGUAACCCAGGAAUUUGAAAGAACGAGCCAGUUCCUCAGAGAGAAAGAGGAUGAGAUUCGUCAUACUAAGGAAAUGUAUGAAAGAUUGAUGGUACGUAAGGAGGAGGACUUGAAAGAGGCUCUUGUUAAAAUGACUGUACUUGGCAAUAGCUUGGAGGAAACCGAACAGAAGCUACAAGCCAAGGAGGGCUUUUUAUGUCAAAUGAGUCAAAAUCGGUCAUAUCAAGUUGAGCCUGGCAGCGCUGAACAAAAACUAAAAGUCAAGCUUGUGGUGGCAGAGAACCGUAUUGUAGAGCUUGAGCAGCACCUUAAUGCACUGCAGCUGGGAUAUGCCGAUCUGCACUUAAGAAGGAAGCAAGUCAAAGAACAGAACAGGCAAGAGUGUGUUAAACCCUCAGCUACUUUCAUUUCAAACGUGGAGUCCCCACUCUCAUUUAACAAUGAUGAGGACUGCACAGAUGAUAAGGAGUCCCAAGCUAAGAGACCAAGAAUCCGUUUUUCCAAUAUUCAGUGCCAAAAAUAUAUGAACCUGAAUGACCUGGGUGAGUGCCAUACCUUUGAUGAUACAAAACAAGAUGUUGACCAGAAAGACCUUGAUCUAGCUGAAGCACUUUCCCCCCCUGAUUUUGCAUUCCCACAAGCCAGUGACUCUGAGAAGUUUAUCUCCAUUGUACAUUCCCUAGAAACUAAACUGCUUGCUACUGAGGAAAAACUAAAAAAUCUCACUCGGAAUCUACAGGACCAACGUUCCUCACAUGCCGAAGACAUGUCAAAGAAAGAUCUGAAGACAGUCGAAAACAAGCCUUUAGGAUGUGACAGUGAGCCUCCGAUAACUGAUGUAAAUAAUCCUUAUGCCAAGGCCCUCCUUUGUGUAGAAGCAUGUCGAGAGAAAGUCAAGGCCAUUCUGUCUCGCUCUCAAGAUAACACUGAUUCACAGCUUCACUCCUUGUCAGAGGUUGAAAAUGAGCUGUUUAGUGCAUCAGUGUAUCUCCGCCAUGGACAAAAGACCUUGGAGGAACAAUCACCAUAUUGUCCUCAACCUCAAAUGUCAGAAUCUUCAGAUGAAGAAAUGAUUCAUCGCUUUGCCAAAACCCUUUCUUUUGAAGCCCUUGUUUUGAAUAAAAUGGCUUUGCUGAUACAGACUCCAGAGUCUGACCUUAUCCAAACACUUAAUGCAAUAUGGGAAGAUAUAGAAAACAUUAAAAGUGGUAACCAAGAUUGUCUAGCAGUAGUUUAUGCAGAUGUCUUAACCAGAAAGUUAAUGUUAGAGAAUGCAUUCUGGAAAAAACUGGAGAAAGAGACGCCUUGCGACAGUUCAAAUGUUGCUAAAAUGCAAGAGGCCAGUGUUGUAGCUGAUGCAGAAAUAAAUACAUCACCAAUACUUAAUACCUUAAUCAAAGCAGAACUGUCAUACUGUAUUCAAAACCUUAAGCUUGACUAUGAAGAGAAAUUCAGGCAACUGAAAGUGGAGUUGGCUGAAGCGCACCACAAACUUUAUCAAAGGGAAAGGGCCUUGAAGUCAAUUAUUGAAGCAUCCAAGAGAUCUGACUUAAAAAGUGUGAUAAAAGAAGUUAAAAGCAACUUUGGCUACACUAAACAAACUUUAGCUGAUAUCUGCCCGCCUGAACUCGCGCCGUACAAAGAGCAGAUCGAAUUGCAAGAAGCCCAAGAUCUGGCUGAAGAAAUAAUCGAGCGGAAUUUGGCAGAGAAAAUACCGUGUUGUGGCAUUGAUUCUUGUGAUUCUCUUCAAAGUGCUCAAUAUAGCUUGGCUGCUGAGCUUCAACAACAGGCAGCAAAACUCCACAAAUAUGCUCAAGAACUACAGAGCACAGGAAACCAUCCAGAACUAGCUAAAAUGCUCAAAGCACUUUUAGGGCCCCAGACAUCGCAUAUUAUCAUGAGUACAUCUGUUUGUCUGCAGGAAGCGCUCAUUCAGGCUCAGGUAGUUUACGUGGCCUGCAGAUUACGAGCCACGCAUGAAAAAAAUUUGGGUUGGUGUAAGCAGAUGCAGCAGAGUAUGGAUGCUCUCAUGCAGCAGCACACCUCCAGUGUGAGGACGAUCCAAGAGAAGUGCGAAGUCUCCCUUGAGGAAGAGCGUCAAAACUUCAAGCAAACUCUCCAGAAUCUCCAGAAGGAGAACAAAACCCUUAAGAGUGAAAUCAGCCAACGUGCCAAACAACUCUUAAAACAGCAAGAACAAGUCGCUCUCUUGGAGGAAGAUUUCCAGUUGCAAAUUAAGGAGCUGAAGCAGAAGCACCAGCAACAAUUGAUCAAAGCUGAGCUAGACCAUUCAGCAGCAGAACAGACCUUCGCGGAGAAGGCGACGGACACCCAGCAACAGCUGAAGGAUUUGCUGGAAGACGUCGACACCAUGCAAGAGCAACAUGCGAGUCGCGUGAGAAAACUCGAGAAAGAAUGUGAGCAACGAAUCGCUCAACUUCAGAGCAUCUACGAGGACGAGAUUGUCAAAUUGCAUUCCCAACACGAGGAAACCAUUCUGAGUAUCCAGGAGCGACAAGCGUACAAAAGAAACAUAGAGGUGGUCUCGGCACCGUUGGAAGAUCAAGACGGGGCGGGGGUUCCACAGACCUUGUCUGAUGGGGACACUACGAUGCUUCUGAAGGACAGAAUCCAGGAACUGGAGACUCAGAUGAAAAGCAUGAGGGACGAACUGGAGAGCAAGCCCCUAGAAGGAGAUGUGGCCAGCCUGAGGGAAAAAUACCAGAGAGACUUUGAAAGUCUUAAGGCCACAUGCGAGCGUGGCUUUGCAGCAAUGGAAGAAACCCACCACAAGGUUGUUGAAGACCUCCAGAGGCAGCAUCAGAGAGAGAUUUCCAAACUUAUGGAGGAGCGAGAGAGGCUUCUUGCUGAGGAGACUGCUGCUACUAUUGCUGCUAUUGAAGCUAUGAAGAAUGCACACAAGGAGGAAAUGGAGAAGAACCAACGUUCCCAGCUCAGUGGACUGAACUCUGACAUUGAUGAACUUCGAUUACAAUACGAUGAGGAGCUGCAGUCCAUUCAGAGGGAGCUGGAGGUUUUGUCCGAGCAGUAUUCUCAGAAAUGCCUGGAAAACGCCCACCUGGCUCAGGCCCUGGAGGCCGAGAGGCAGGCCCUCAGACAGUGUCAGCGAGAGAACCAGGAGCUCAACACUCACAACCAGGAAUUAAACAACCGUCUGAGUGCAGAGAUCACACGGAUGCGGUCCUGUUUCAGAAAGGAGACUGCGCGAUCGUCUGUUACGCAAGGCAAAGAUGUUUAUGAACUGGAGGUUCUGCUUCGAAUCAAGGAGUCAGAGAUUCAAUAUCUUAAACAGGAAAUCCACUCUUUGAAGGAUGAGUUGCAGUCUGCUCUUAGGGACAAGAAGUAUGCCACGGACAAAUAUAAAGACAUCUACACCGAGCUGAGCAUUGUGAAAGCGAAGGCUGACUGUGAUAUUGGCAAACUGAAGGAAAAGCUGCUCAUCGCUAGUGAAACGUCAGGCGAGAGUUCCGUCGAUGGGACAGUUAAGUCUGGAUAUGACAUCAUGAAAUCCAAAAGUAACCCUGACUUCACAAAAACAGAACAACCAGGAACCUCCAAGCCACCCCGAGGUCUCAGAUCAAAGUCUGUCACUGAACAGGUCUCAUGGGACAGCUGACACCCCCUUUGUGGCUCUUUAGCCCUCCCCCCAAACCCGCCCGAGAUGCGCCGUAGAGCCUGAAAGAGGGAUUGACCGUGCAAGAGCGCAUGAAGCUGUUUGAGGCAAAAGAUUCCAAAUAGAUCUGAAUGUCAACAACCCUGGAGCUUCACUUCUCACUUGCCUUUUUCACCCUAAUUGUGUUACUAUUAUUAUUUUUAUUUUUUGCUAAGACGGCACGCUUAUAGAACAGCUAGGAUCAAAUGGUCCAAACAAGACCUUCCGCUUCCUUGGAACACAGGUUUUUGCAUGUUUAAUUAACAGAAAUGGACUUAGUUGGACGAGUAUUGACAUUUCAUAGAAAAAGAAGGAAAAAUGGUAUUUAAUGUAUUGUUAAAGUUGGAGAUGUGUAAAAUAAGCUGUGAGAGGAUACAUAACAGCGUUUUGAAUUAUCUUCCCAAAUGCCAAAAUAGAUAACACACACAGUCUAAAUAAUAUAUAUAUAUAUAUAUUCCCUUAUAUUAAAUAUUUGUCUGCUGUAUUUUACUAUUGUUACAAUUUCUAUACCCAAAUGUUUUUGAUGUUUCGUGUACAUAACUACUGGACAUACAGUAUGUAAGUGCAUGGUUUGUUAUUGAGUGUUGGGGCAUCUGCUGUACUAUAAAAUUAAGUUUGACUGAUGGAAUUUAUUAUGCUUAUGUACGUUUUUUUUAAUUUUUAAAUCAUGUCUGUGUGUUGCAGAGGGAAAGGUUGGGGAUUGCACUUAUAACUUGACUACUUGAGGAACCUUUAAUUGUCUCCAGUCAAUGUCGUGAGUUUCGAUUAUUGCAGUGCAACCAAAUGUGGUGAUUGGCUGAUACUUCAAUCUGGCAUUCGUCUUUAUUACCUUUUUUUUUUUUUUUUUUUUUUUGUGAUGAACACACUUAAGGACUUGGCAUGAUUAUAUUGUCUUUUACAAAAUUUGCCUCGUUUUUGCUAUUUUAAAUGCUCCUAAAUACGCAACUUGCUUCACCUUUACUGUGAGUGGCAAUUCCCCCAAAGCACUUGACCCCUGACCUCUCGCUUCCGUUCUAGUUGCGCCUCAACCCAGUGAAGAACACAAACCACUUAUAUUAAAAUCGAUUUACUAUAACCUGUGCAGCUAUGGAAACACACUGUAUAGUUUUCAAAACCCUUUGGAAAUGUACAUAUAUAUAUUAUAUAUGUGCCACAUGGAACACUUGUGCUCUUGUUUUAAACUUCACUCAUUAGCUCUAUAUGAAAUAUAUAUGAUUUUUUUUAAUGUAUAAAAUGAAAUAAAUGGAAAAUAUGACAAUGUCAGCUGUAAUCUUUUCACUGAUUUCUGACUUACUUCAUUGAGAUUGCCCAAUUUACACCCUCAAGCACUUAAAAGGAUGGAUCAAUGUUAAAUAUUUGAAUGCUGUCCACAAGAUGGCGUUAUCAGCAUGCUUUCUGGAUUCAUUUGAGGAAGAAUGUAAACUAUACUUCGUGCCAAAAUUAAAAAAUAAACGAAUAAAUAAAUACAAAGAGAAAUAAAUCAAAAUGUAAAAGUAUAUUUUGCCAUUGACUUUUACUUGUUGUUGUUUACUCAUUGAAAAUCCUAAACGGAAAAAAGUGACAAUUUUUGUCACUGACUUAUACUUUUUGUCAUUGAAAAACAAAUGAAAGAACUGGCAAUUUUGUCGUUGACUUUUUUUGUCAUUGAAAAACACAAACGGAAAAAACAAUGGCAAUUUUUUCAUUGCCUUUGCCUUUUCUAUUUCGCUUUGCCUUUGCUUUUACCGAUGGAAUGGUCUGUCAAACAAAUUGCCGUUUGGGAGGGGCUUUCCAAACAGGAAAGGGUUAGUUCGGGGUCAGCAACCUGCGGCCCUAGUGCAGAAUGCGGCUCUUCAGCGCUUCCUUAGUGGCUCCCUGGAGCUUUUUUGUUUGUUUGUUUGUUGUUGUUUUUUUACAUGUUAGAAAAAGGAAAAAGAAUGGGGAGGGAAUACAUUUUUGUUGUAAUAUUGUUUCUGUAGGAGGACAAACAUGAAAAACAUUCUUCUAAUUUAUUAACACUGUAAUGAAGUUAAACUUGAGGCGCCAUCGUACAAGAGAGGAGUCACGUGGUGCGUCAUUCUUUAUAGAAAGCACUGCAGCGAAAAUACAUUUAAUCAUGAAGGCUCAUUAUGUAUUUGUACCCAACUUUUCGUCAUUUUAAUAGUAGGCUAAUAUAGCUACAUAUAGCUAGUGUUGCCUUCAUUAUAAGGCUUAUAUAAGGCUUUUAA